UACAGAGGUGGCAAGCGUUGUUCGGAAUUACUGGGCGUAAAGGGCGCGUAGGCGGCCCUCUAAGUCAGACGUGAAAUCCCCCGGCUUAACCUGGGAACUGCGUCUGAUACUGGAGGGCUAGAGUUUGGGAGAGGGAUGUAGAAUUCCAGGUGUAGCGGUGAAAUGCGUAGAUAUCUGGAGGAACACCGGUGGCGAAGGCGGCAUCCUGGACCAAUACUGACGCUGAGGCGCGAAAGCUAGGGGAGCAAACGGG
RNAcentral lists this ribosomal RNA (253 nucleotides) under uncultured bacterium. RNAcentral describes it as "partial 16S ribosomal RNA". It matches the Rfam family "Bacterial small subunit ribosomal RNA", at positions 524 to 776 of the family's 1533-position model. The record is from RNAcentral.